CAGCAGCCGCGGGAAUACGGAGGGGGCUAGCGUUGUUCGGAAUUACUGGGCGUAAAGCGCACGUAGGCGGCUUGGUAAGUUAGAGGUGAAAGCCCAGGGCUCAACCCUGGAAUUGCCUUUAAGACUGCCGAGCUAGUAGGUGAGAGAGGUAAGUGGAAUUCCGAGUGUAGAGGUGAAAUUCGUAGAUAUUCGGAGGAACACCAGUGGCGAAGGCGGCUUACUGGCUCAUUCUAGACGCUGAGGCACGAAAGCGUGGGGAGCAAACAGGAUUAGAUACCCCGGUAGUCCCUGUCUCUUAUAC
RNAcentral lists this ribosomal RNA (301 nucleotides) under uncultured bacterium. Its description in RNAcentral is "partial 16S ribosomal RNA". It matches the Rfam family "Bacterial small subunit ribosomal RNA", at positions 509 to 807 of the family's 1533-position model. The record is from RNAcentral.